AUCGAACGCUGGCGGCAUGCCUAACACAUGCAAGUCGAACGAGUGGCGGACGGGUGAGCAGUGUCUGGGAAACUGCCUGAUGGCGGGGGCAGACUUGGGGAACCGGUGGCUAAUACCGCUAAACGUCAUAUGGGCUCAGAUGGGAUUAGCUUGUUGGUGGGGUAACGGCUCACCAAGGCGACGAUCCCUAGCUGGUCUGAGAGGAUGACCAGCCACACUGGGACUGAGACACGGUCCAGACUCCGACGGGAGGCAGCAGUGGGGAAUAUUGCACAAUGGGCGCAAGCCUGAUGCAGCCAUGCCGCGUGUGUGAAGAAGGCCUUCGGGUUGUAAAGUACUUUCAUCGGGGAGGCGUUACCGGCAGAAGAAGCACCGGCUAACUCCGUGCCAGCCGCCGCGGUAAUAC
Molecule: ribosomal RNA, 406 nt
Filed under: uncultured bacterium
Lineage: Bacteria
Description: partial 16S ribosomal RNA
Rfam family: Bacterial small subunit ribosomal RNA
Source: RNAcentral